UACAGAGACCUCAAGCGUUAUCCGGAUUUAUUGGGCGUAAAGGGUCCGUAGGUGGUUUUGUAAGUCAUUCGUUAAAUCUUCAGGCUCAACCUGGAGGCUGCGGGUGAUACUGUAAAACUAGAGGAUGGGAAAGGUAGAUGGAAUUGCUGGUGUAGCGGUAAAAUGCGUUAAUAUCAGCAAGAACACCAAAGGCGAAAGCAAUCUACUGGAACAUUCCUGACACUGAGGGACGAAAGCGUGGGUAGCGAAUCGG
Molecule: unclassified non-coding RNA, 253 nt
Filed under: Patescibacteria group bacterium
Lineage: Bacteria
Description: contains 16S-23S intergenic spacer region
Rfam family: Bacterial small subunit ribosomal RNA
Source: RNAcentral